GGAAAAUAGAAGGUUGACCAUAAACAGCACAGUGGUGCUGGGCAAGGAACUUCCUUGCAACCAACUUCAUCGUCGAGCCCAACGAUGAAGAAAGUACUACAGGAGAAUCUCCUGGAUAGUACUUACUCGGAGAAGAAAUCCGAGGAGGUUAUUAUGUACCUGGAUCACAGUGAAGUUUCUCAUCUGAGUGAUCCAUGGUUCAUACGUCAAAAAUUCUUUGACGAAUGGGGUUACACUUCAAUGGAGGAAAAAACAGAGUAGUAAUGGAGGCGCUCCUGCUCCAUACUAAAUCUGUAGAGACUCAACAUAAUUUCUAGAAUGGAAAUAUCAGGAGUGGAGUUAUCAAUUUUAGCAAAUGCUACAUUUUGAAGGUGAUCAGACCAAAUGAAUGGGGACUUGACCCAAAUCAGGCCAAGCAGAUCACAACUAACGGACAAGUCUAUCUAGUUAAUUACUGGGACUAUGUUCAGGCAUUCACCAAUAUUUUCUAUUAUGAAAAUCCC
This 503-nucleotide long non-coding RNA is filed under the name Phoenix dactylifera (date palm). Its description in RNAcentral is "long non-coding RNA (PDAC_LNC022890)". The record is from RNAcentral. Lineage: Eukaryota; Viridiplantae; Streptophyta; Magnoliopsida; Arecales; Arecaceae.